Molecule: non-coding RNA, 248 nt
Filed under: Loigolactobacillus backii
Lineage: Bacteria; Bacillati; Bacillota; Bacilli; Lactobacillales; Lactobacillaceae
Description: Lactobacillus backii T-box sequence
Rfam family: T-box leader
About the family: Uncharged tRNA acts as the effector for transcription antitermination of genes in the T-box leader family. T-boxes are found upstream of many aminoacyl-tRNA synthetase genes and some amino acid biosynthetic genes usually in Gram-positive bacteria.
Source: RNAcentral
UUAAACGCUGUGAUAAGAAAAGUACACGAAACACACUUACAAAGAGAGCGUCGCUUGGUGAAAUGACGUGAAGUGGAUUUCUUGGAAAAUCAUCUUUGAGCGAUGAAUGCGAAAUUUGAGCGUUCAUUGGGUGCUCCCAUUAUAGAGCUAGGGUAUUUCAAAAAGAAUAUUUUUUGCGUACCUGAAAAGGUUAUUCGUGUGAGCGAAUAACAAACUAAGGUGGUAACACGUUUAUUAACGUCCUUAUC